RNAcentral lists this ribosomal RNA (914 nucleotides) under Levilactobacillus brevis. RNAcentral describes it as "bacterial SSU rRNA". It matches the Rfam family "Bacterial small subunit ribosomal RNA", at positions 63 to 970 of the family's 1533-position model. Lineage: Bacteria; Bacillati; Bacillota; Bacilli; Lactobacillales; Lactobacillaceae. The record is from RNAcentral.
UGCACUGAUUUCAACAAUGAAGCGAGUGGCGAACUGGUGAGUAACACGUGGGAAAUCUGCCCAGAAGCAGGGGAUAACACUUGGAAACAGGUGCUAAUACCGUAUAACAACAAAAUCCGCAUGGAUUUUGUUUGAAAGGUGGCUUCGGCUAUCACUUCUGGAUGAUCCCGCGGCGUAUUAGUUAGUUGGUGAGGUAAAGGCCCACCAAGACGAUGAUACGUAGCCGACCUGAGAGGGUAAUCGGCCACAUUGGGACUGAGACACGGCCCAAACUCCUACGGGAGGCAGCAGUAGGGAAUCUUCCACAAUGGACGAAAGUCUGAUGGAGCAAUGCCGCGUGAGUGAAGAAGGGUUUCGGCUCGUAAAACUCUGUUGUUAAAGAAGAACACCUUUGAGAGUAACUGUUCAAGGGUUGACGGUAUUUAACCAGAAAGCCACGGCUAACUACGUGCCAGCAGCCGCGGUAAUACGUAGGUGGCAAGCGUUGUCCGGAUUUAUUGGGCGUAAAGCGAGCGCAGGCGGUUUUUUAAGUCUGAUGUGAAAGCCUUCGGCUUAACCGGAGAAGUGCAUCGGAAACUGGGAGACUUGAGUGCAGAAGAGGACAGUGGACUCCAUGUGUAGCGGUGGAAUGCGUAGAUAUAUGGAAGAACACCAGUGGCGAAGGCGGCUGUCUAGUCUGUAACUGACGCUGAGGCUCGAAAGCAUGGGUAGCGAACAGGAUUAGAUACCCUGGUAGUCCAUGCCGUAAACGAUGAGUGCUAAGUGUUGGAGGGUUUCCGCCCUUCAGUGCUGCAGCUAACGCAUUAAGCACUCCGCCUGGGGAGUACGACCGCAAGGUUGAAACUCAAAGGAAUUGACGGGGGCCCGCACAAGCGGUGGAGCAUGUGGUUUAAUUCGAAGCUACGCGAAGAACC